CUGGCCCUGAAUCAAGGCCAGCAGCUGAUGCUGUAGAUUUCAAGCAGGAGCCUAAAGAGAUGUCUUUCUGUGGUCUGUUGACAUUUCAUAACUUGGACAGUUAAAUGGUCAAUUCAUUAGAAAGAAACAGCU
This is a small nucleolar RNA of Cavia porcellus (domestic guinea pig), 132 nucleotides long. NCBI's taxonomy places the organism in Eukaryota, Metazoa, Chordata, Mammalia, Rodentia, Caviidae. The record is from Ensembl.